GUAUAGUAUGUGACAAAUUUUCUGGAAAGAACACUGGUUCAUUUAAAACUGUCAGUGAGGAUAAACGGGAGCUAUUUACUCGUUACUUUAACUUUGAUAUGCAUCUGGAAAAUUUAAUUUGUUGUCCUUAUUGUUACAAUAAUUUUAAUUCCUUUUCUAGAUCAGAUGCUGCAGAGGACCAGUUGUCCAAAACGACUGAAUACUUAUUCAGUUGUUUGGAAAAUUUUACAAUUAUAGACACUGAAAAGGUUACAACAGAAAAUAUAGAUUUAUUUUCUUUCAGGUCUGUCCUAGAAUCUGUAAUAAAUUCUUUUGUAGAAGAAAAAGCCUUGCUUUUACCAAAUUUAUUUGAAAAGUACAAAUGUAUUUUACAUAAAAAUGCAAACAAAUUAGGCUUAUGUGUUGAGCAGAAGGUUUUUCAUCGUCCACAGUGGUUAUUUACCAUGUUGAAGUCGUGCCUUGGCAGAGCCCUAUCAUAUUAUGUGCCAAAAAAGAAAAAUUUAGGGAGAAUGAUUUACAGGAAUGGUACUGAUAUAUUUGGUUGUUUACACGCACUUGUUGUUGAAAAUUGUAAAUGCAUUGAAGAUAAUAAAAGAUUAAAAAAAGAAAGCAUUAUCCAAGCAGAAAAAUUGGCUUCUACUGUAUCAGAGGAAAAUAGAAAAAAAAAACAAGAGCAAAGUCUAGAAGAUGCUGUAAAAAUCUUAAAAAAUUAUGUUAAAAUAUAUGUUUCAGAUAAAAUCAAGAUGGACGGACUUCCUGACAUAGACAAUUUUAAUUGUAAAGAUGAAAUCUUGAAAAUCCCCCC
RNAcentral lists this long non-coding RNA (805 nucleotides) under Mytilus galloprovincialis (Mediterranean mussel). The record is from RNAcentral. Lineage: Eukaryota; Metazoa; Mollusca; Bivalvia; Mytilida; Mytilidae.